CCUACGGGAGGCAGCAGUGGGGAAUAUUGGACAAUGGGGGGAACCCUGAUCCAGCGAAGCCGCGUGAGUGAAGAAGUAUUUCGGUAUGUAAAGCCCUAUCAGCAGGGAAGAAAAUGACGGUACCUUACUAAGGAGCGCCGGCUACCUACGGGCCAGCAGCCGGGGUAAUUAGGGGGGGGCAAGCGGUUACCGGAUUUACUGGGUGUAAAGGGAGCGUAGGCGGUGCAGCAAGGCCGAUGUGAAAGGUCGGGGCCCAACCCCGGUACUGCAUUGGAAACUGUUGAACUGGAGUACAGGAGAGGUAAGCGGAAUGCCUAGUGUAGCGGUGAAAUGCGUAGAUAUUAGGAGGAACACCAGUGGCGAAGGCAGCUUACUGGACUAUAACUGACGUUGAGGCUCGAAAGCGUGGGGAGCAAACAGGAUUAGAUACCCUUGUAGUC
This 440-nucleotide ribosomal RNA is filed under the name uncultured bacterium. RNAcentral's name for it is "partial 16S ribosomal RNA". It matches the Rfam family "Bacterial small subunit ribosomal RNA", at positions 338 to 795 of the family's 1533-position model. The record is from RNAcentral.